GGUAACAGCAUUCUCAGGGCCUUCUGCCAAGGGCCCGCUUUGAUCUCCCUUAAAGGACAGCAUUAUCUGACCAGAGGUAAAUUGUAACCACUGAAAGUCCGCUGUUUCGAUUCUGGGCAAGAUGCUAUGGCAGAACAGGGACCAUGAUGAACUACUUAGAAAAAUACAUAAGGCCAUAAAUAAUGUGUGAUUAUUUGAUGAAUGCCUGUCUCUCCCACUGGGACCAUCAGCUUAGAAAAGAAAUGAUGUGGAUGUGCUCACCAAGUUAUUUGCAGAGCUUAGCAGAGUGGGAUAGAAGAGACCCAUGCAGGAGACCUCUCCAGGUACACAUAUUUCCUGCUACUGAAUGGCUUAGACUGGGAUUUGCAAGGAACUACGAAGUCCAAGACCUUUGCCUUUCUUUUAGAAGAAGGCACCAGCUGGUUCUCCAAUGUUGAAGGUCUUCUCCAGAGAUACCUUAAGGUGUGGGGAGAUUACAACUUGCUCAAGGUCUCAUAGCUAGAAGAUGUCAGAGUGAUAACUCAAACCAUGUCACAUGACUCUAAGCCCAAAGCAGCCUCUAGAAGGUUGUUUGAUCUUCUGAUGGAAGCACAAAUCACCAUUCCAACAUGAAAGAUGGAGAAACUUAAGUCUAGAGAGAUUUAAAGGACUUGUCAAAGGCAAUGAAACAAGUGAUGAGGAAACUGAGGCCCAGAGAGGAUAAAUGACUUGCUCAAGGUUAGCCAGUUGGUCAAUGGCAAAGAUUAAACCAGAACCCAGAUCUCCUCUCUCCAGCCAGAGUCUUCAAGCAAAGUCCCUAGGAGGUCAAGCCAACUCUUGCUGCUGCUGCUAAUCUAAGGACAGAUGUGGCCACUUUCUCCAAAGGAUCUCAGAGAGCUAACUUUAUGGCGUUUUACAGAAGUCCUAUCUUUCCUUCAGGGGAACCCCAUUCAUUUGCAAGAUGGAAGGCUAUUUUUAGCAUUGACUUUUAUUUUCUCCUAAGUGACUUCCUCUCUCAUGUACCAUUUGGCCUUCACAGUGGCUGAAAAGACAGUUCCUAGGAAAAUCUAGAACAUUUAAGCUUGCGUGUGUUGCAGUUCUUAGAACUCUGAAAGCCACAUGUUGAGAUGGCCCCAUUACAGGAUGGAGAGCACCUGAACCCCCAAGUUAUGGACUAGAAGAAGACAGUUGCCCUGGAAAAUCAUCUGACCCACAUUGGACUUUAUGUGAGGGGGAAAUAAACCUUUAUUAUGUUAAGCUACACAAUAAUAAAUAACAACAAUAA
This is a long non-coding RNA of Homo sapiens (human), 1264 nucleotides long. Ensembl annotates it as long intergenic non-protein coding RNA 511. The record is from Ensembl. NCBI's taxonomy places the organism in Eukaryota, Metazoa, Chordata, Mammalia, Primates, Hominidae.